This 481-nucleotide ribosomal RNA is filed under the name Salmonella enterica. Its description in RNAcentral is "bacterial SSU rRNA". It matches the Rfam family "Bacterial small subunit ribosomal RNA", at positions 622 to 1102 of the family's 1533-position model. Lineage: Bacteria; Pseudomonadati; Pseudomonadota; Gammaproteobacteria; Enterobacterales; Enterobacteriaceae. The record is from RNAcentral.
UGCAUUCGAAACUGGCAGGCUUGAGUCUUGUAGAGGGGGGUAGAAUUCCAGGUGUAGCGGUGAAAUGCGUAGAGAUCUGGAGGAAUACCGGUGGCGAAGGCGGCCCCCUGGACAAAGACUGACGCUCAGGUGCGAAAGCGUGGGGAGCAAACAGGAUUAGAUACCCUGGUAGUCCACGCCGUAAACGAUGUCUACUUGGAGGUUGUGCCCUUGAGGCGUGGCUUCCGGAGCUAACGCGUUAAGUAGACCGCCUGGGGAGUACGGCCGCAAGGUUAAAACUCAAAUGAAUUGACGGGGGCCCGCACAAGCGGUGGAGCAUGUGGUUUAAUUCGAUGCAACGCGAAGAACCUUACCUGGUCUUGACAUCCACAGAACUUUCCAGAGAUGGAUUGGUGCCUUCGGGAACUGUGAGACAGGUGCUGCAUGGCUGUCGUCAGCUCGUGUUGUGAAAUGUUGGGUUAAGUCCCGCAACGAGCGCAAC